UCGGAUUGCAGGUUGCAACCCGCCUGCAUGAAGUCGGAAUUGCUAGUAAUCGCGGAUCAGAAUGCCGCGGUGAAUACGUUCCCGGGCCUUGUACACACCGCCCGUCACACCAUGAGAGCCGGUAACACCCGAAGUCAGGGGCCUAACCGCAAGGAGGGCGCUGCCGAAGGUGGGAUUGGUAAUUGGGGUGAAGUCGUAACAAGGUACC
Molecule: ribosomal RNA, 208 nt
Filed under: uncultured bacterium
Lineage: Bacteria
Description: partial 16S ribosomal RNA
Rfam family: Bacterial small subunit ribosomal RNA
Source: RNAcentral